UGCCUUGUUGGUUAAGCGGAUAAACUCUCGGAAUUUGACUCCGACAAUACAGGUUCGAAUCCUGUCAAGGCAU
Molecule: transfer RNA, 73 nt
Filed under: Saprospiraceae bacterium
Lineage: Bacteria; Pseudomonadati; Bacteroidota; Saprospiria; Saprospirales; Saprospiraceae
Description: tRNA-Gln
Rfam family: tRNA
About the family: Transfer RNA (tRNA) molecules are approximately 80 nucleotides in length. Their secondary structure includes four short double-helical elements and three loops (D, anti-codon, and T loops).
Source: RNAcentral